CCCACACAUUCACAUUUUGAACAAUGAGGUUAGCAAGUCAUACAAGCAUGUAGCUUUCUUCAUAAAACCGUGUCUGAGAAUGGAAUCGGAAAGCAGGGAGGAGAAACUCAAUUGUCGCUUUCUGGUGAGGUGAAAAAAAACGGGACGCAAUCCAGUCCAUUCUCGUGUAUCUUCAUCAUUUCUGUAUUUUUUUUGGUUGUCAUCGGCUUCUCAUACCCCCACCACCUCUGUCCACUAGUCUCCAUUUCAUCAUGCUUUCCAACCCUGGAUACCUCAUCUAUUAAC
Molecule: non-coding RNA, 285 nt
Organism: Caenorhabditis elegans
Lineage: Eukaryota; Metazoa; Nematoda; Chromadorea; Rhabditida; Rhabditidae
Source: Ensembl